Molecule: long non-coding RNA, 672 nt
Filed under: Salvia miltiorrhiza (redroot sage)
Lineage: Eukaryota; Viridiplantae; Streptophyta; Magnoliopsida; Lamiales; Lamiaceae
Description: long non-coding RNA (SMIL_LNC006063)
Source: RNAcentral
UCAUCUCUCCCCUCUCUCUUUUAAUUUCUAAAAUAUUUUCCUCAAUUCAUGUUGUAAUUGCAAAAAUACCAUAAAAUUGGUGGGAAAAAAAAAAAACUGGUGUUUUAUAUUAUAUAGAUUUGAUUUGAAGUAACAAUUGGGUAGCUUUUUAAUAAUUCUAGAGCCUUUAAUUCGCGUUUGACCUUCACAAAGUCACACUGUAUAUCCUCAACUAUUUAACUAAAAUUUCAACUUGCAUUCAAUAAUUCAAAAUUGAUUUCGAUUGAAACCUUGUUUUUUCUAUUUUUUCGUACAGAUUUGAGAGAGAUUGUCCUUGAGCAAUGUGUUAGAGCAUUCUUGUACCAUUAAUGAAGAUUGAAUUAUUGUGUUUGGUUAUGUUAGAAAUUGGGUGAGUGAUUAUGAUAUAAUGGGGGAAGUUUACUGAUUGAGGAGGUUUGCAGAGGAUCUCAAACAUGAUUGAGGGGGUGUUGAACGAUCGUCUGGGGAAGAAAGUUCAAGUAUUGUUAUUGACUCGUUCUCGUGUUGUAAUAUUCAAUUAAACUUAAAGUAUAUUCAUUAAGUUUCAUGACUUAUUCAAAAUAAUAAUAAGCAUAUAUAACAACAAUACAUGUUUGGUAUACUAAUUUAUAUAUAUGUAUGCAAUGUGGUUUUGUGUGAUAUAUUACGAUGGAA